Molecule: ribosomal RNA, 1343 nt
Filed under: uncultured bacterium
Lineage: Bacteria
Description: 16S ribosomal RNA
Rfam family: Bacterial small subunit ribosomal RNA
Source: RNAcentral
GACGAACGCUGGCGGCGUGCUUAACACAUGCAAGUCGAACGGAAAGGCCCUGCUUUUGUGGGGUGCUCGAGUGGCGAACGGGUGAGUAACACGUGAGUAACCUGCCCUUGACUUUGGGAUAACUUCAGGAAACUGGGGCUAAUACCGGAUAGGAGCUCCUGCUGCAUGGUGGGGGUUGGAAAGUUUCGGCGGUUGGGGAUGGACUCGCGGCUUAUCAGCUUGUUGGUGGGGUAGUGGCUUACCAAGGCUUUGACGGGUAGCCGGCCUGAGAGGGUGACCGGCCACAUUGGGACUGAGAUACGGCCCAGACUCCUACGGGAGGCAGCAGUGGGGAAUAUUGCACAAUGGGCGGAAGCCUGAUGCAGCAACGCCGCGUGCGGGAUGACGGCCUUCGGGUUGUAAACCGCUUUCGCCUGUGACGAAGCGUGAGUGACGGUAAUGGGUAAAGAAGCACCGGCUAACUACGUGCCAGCAGCCGCGGUGAUACGUAGGGUACGAGCGUUGUCCGGAUUUAUUGGGCGUAAAGGGCUCGUAGGUGGUUGAUCGCGUCGGAAGUGUAAUCUUGGGGCUUAACCCUGAGCGUGCUUUCGAUACGGGUUGACUUGAGGAAGGUAGGGGAGAAUGGAAUUCCUGGUGGAGCGGUGGAAUGCGCAGAUAUCAGGAGGAACACCAGUGGCGAAGGCGGUUCUCUGGGCCUUUCCUGACGCUGAGGAGCGAAAGCGUGGGGAGCGAACAGGCUUAGAUACCCUGGUAGUCCACGCUGUAAACGGUGGGUACUAGGUGUGGGGUCCAUUCCACGGGUUCCGUGCCGUAGCUAACGCUUUAAGUACCCCGCCUGGGGAGUACGGCCGCAAGGCUAAAACUCAAAGGAAUUGACGGGGCCCCGCACAAGCGGCGGAGCAUGCGGAUUAAUUCGAUGCAACGCGUAGAACCUUACCUGGGUUUGACAUGGAUCGGGAGUGCUCAGAGAUGGGUGUGCCUCUUUUGGGGUCGGUUCACAGGUGGUGCAUGGCUGUCGUCAGCUCGUGUCGUGAGAUGUUGGGUUAAGUCCCGCAACGAGCGCAACCCUUGUUCACUGUUGCCAGCACGUUAUGGUGGGGACUCAGUGGAGACCGCCGGGGUCAACUCGGAGGAAGGUGGGGAUGACGUCAAGUCAUCAUGCCCCUUAUGUCCAGGGCUUCACGCAUGCUACAAUGGCUGGUACAGAGAGUGGCGAGCCUGUGAGGGUGAGUGAAUCUCGGAAAGCCGGUCUCAGUUCGGAUUGGGGUCUGCAACUCGACCUCAUGAAGUCGGAGUCGCUAGUAAUCGCAGAUCAGCAACGCUGCGGUGAAUACGUUCCCGGG